RNAcentral lists this ribosomal RNA (532 nucleotides) under uncultured bacterium. RNAcentral describes it as "bacterial SSU rRNA". It matches the Rfam family "Bacterial small subunit ribosomal RNA", at positions 335 to 887 of the family's 1533-position model. The record is from RNAcentral.
ACUCCUACGGGAGGCAGCAGUGGGGAAUAUUGGACAAUGGGCGCAAGCCUGAUCCAGCCAUGCCGCGUGAGUGAUGACGGCCCUAGGGUUGUAAAGCUCUUUCACCCACGACGAUAAUGACGGUAGUGGGAGAAGAAGCCCCGGCUAACUUCGUGCCAGCAGCCGCGGUAAUACGAAGGGGGCUAGCGUUGUUCGGAUUUACUGGGCGUAAAGCGCGCGUAGGCGGAUCUUUAAGUCAGGGGUGAAAUGCCGGAGCUCAACUUCGGAACUGCCUUUGAUACUGGAGAUCUUGAGUUCGGGAGAGGUGAGUGGAACUGCGAGUGUAGAGGUGAAAUUCGUAGAUAUUCGCAAGAACACCAGUGGCGAAAGCGGCUCACUGGCCCGAUACUGACGCUGAGGCGAAAGCGUGGGGAGCAAACAGGAUUAGAUACCCUGGUAGUCCACGCCGUAAACGAUGGAUGCUAGCCGUUAGGCAGCUUGCUGCUUAGUGGCGCAGCUAACGCUUUAAGCAUCCCGCCUGGGGAGUACGGUC